UGCAAGUCGAGCGGUACAGAAAGUAGCUUGCUACUUUGCUGACGAGCGGCGGACGGGUGAGUAAUGCUUGGGAACAUGCCUUGAGGUGGGGGACAACAGUUGGAAACGACUGCUAAUACCGCAUAAUGUCUACGGACCAAAGGGGGCUUCGGCUCUCGCCUUUAGAUUGGCCCAAGUGGGAUUAGCUAGUUGGUGAGGUAAUGGCUCACCAAGGCAACGAUCCCUAGCUGGUUUGAGAGGAUGAUCAGCCACACUGGAACUGAGACACGGCCCAGACUCCUACGGGAGGCAGCAGUGGGGAAUAUUGGACAAUGGGCGAAAGCCUGAUCCAGCAAUGCCGCGUGUGUGAAGAAGGCCUGCGGGUUGUAAAGCACUUUCAGUUGGGAAGAUGAUGACGUUACCAACAGAAGAAGCACCGGCUAACUCCGUGCCAGCAGCCGCGGUAAUACG
This 450-nucleotide ribosomal RNA is filed under the name uncultured bacterium. Its description in RNAcentral is "bacterial SSU rRNA". It matches the Rfam family "Bacterial small subunit ribosomal RNA", at positions 56 to 527 of the family's 1533-position model. The record is from RNAcentral.